Molecule: unclassified non-coding RNA, 1385 nt
Filed under: Hevea brasiliensis (rubber tree)
Lineage: Eukaryota; Viridiplantae; Streptophyta; Magnoliopsida; Malpighiales; Euphorbiaceae
Source: RNAcentral
GAAAUGUGAAUGACUAUUGGUUUUAAAUUGAAAUACUGCUUUUCAUUUAGCGGAGAAGAGGCAUUUUUCAUUUUCCUUCCCACAGGAGAAUGAGCUAAGUUCAUAGAAUGGAAUUCAGAAUUGAACCCAUUAAGACUUAUGAUUUAUCCUGUGAGAGUAGUCAUAUACAACGCUCGGUACCUUUAUCAUCUACUCCAAAUUAACUAGUCUUCUGGUGAGACACACUAUGUCACAAAUUUUCCUGCAGAUGAUAGAAUUCACUGAUUCACCGCUGAUUGGUAGCCCAUAAAAGUGCCAUUAAGUUGUCAAAAUUAAUAAACUCCAACCCUUGACGACCAAAAACAAGGGCUCCACUGAUCAGAUGGUUCAAGGUAGACUAUCCUAUUACUAAGAUUAUGGUCGGAUAAGUUGAUCUUUUUCCUAUUUUCGGCAACCAAAUAACAACAAAUGCGUGAGGUGAAGGGGAAAUCUAUGGAGACAGCUUAAGUAUUUUGGCCGCUCAAAUCUGCUCGGAGCCUGGGUGGGAUUGUUCGCAGCUCUUGCAUUCAACUUCAUAUAUAUAAUUGUACCUCCAACAUAUCCCCUUGUAUUAAUUAAAGAGGUCAAUAUUUGCGAUAUCUUGCCCAAAACCCUUUUUUCCCGGCAGAAUCCUUCUCUGACAGGGACUUACUCCAUUUGGACCCAAAUGAAAAGUGUCGUCUCAAGAACGGUUUGGCAGAGGAGCUUGCUGCAUUGGAACUAGUCUCCAUCUUUGGAGCUCCUUCCCAUAUGGCAUUUUUUUGGUAGUCAAAAUCAUCAGAAUCACUGUCAAGAUAACUAUCUAUAACACGGCUUCUUGAAAUUUUAUGGCUUCUAGACUUCAAUUCUGCUUCAGCUCUUAAAGCCUUUUUGGUCAUCUUUGAGACUUGCUUCUCUCCUCCCAUGCAUAUUGGGCAAGCUGGGUCAUACCUAUCAACUUCCAGUGUCAUGGUCUCCAAACACUCAGCAUGGUACACAUGACCACAUACCAGCACAGCAACAACCGAGAGUUCAUUGCUGGCAAGAAUUCUCUGGCUGCUCCAAGAAGAUCUCUCUGUCAAGAACUUUGAACAAGCCCCACAAGUUUGAAGAUCUAAUGAAGGCGAACAUGAAAACCUGCUACUGCAUCCACUUACUUUGUUCAAACCAUAACCCAGGUGCUCACUGUCAAAAGACCACCUCUCCCUUUGUGAAGAAGCCACAAGCUCAGAAAAGGUUCGCAUGGACCAACCAUCAGAAGAACCACCAUGUGAUCCCAUUGCUAAGUCGUGGCUACAAGUGGAGAGCACAAAUGAUGACCUACCUUCAGAUAAGGAGUAAUUAUUAGGCGACUUCAAUCCCAUAAUUCGACUAUCAGAAAUCUGCCU